AUUGAACUUUGGCGGCAGGCCUAACACAUGCAAGUCGAGCGGUAACACAGGGAGCUUGCUCCCGGGUGACGAGCGGCGGACGGGUGAGUAAUGUCUGGGAAACUGCCUGAUGGAGGGGGAUAACUACUGGAAACGGUAGCUAAUACCGCAUAAUGUCGCAAGACCAAAGAGGGGGACCUUCGGGCCUCUUGCCAUCAGAUGUGCCCAGAUGGGAUUAGCUAGUAGGUGGGGUAACGGCUCACCUAGGCGACGAUCCCUAGCUGGUCUGAGAGGAUGACCAGCCACACUGGAACUGAGGCACGGUCCAGACUCCUACGGGAGGCAGCAGUGGGGAAUAUUGCACAAUGGGCGCAAGCCUGAUGCAGCCAUGCCGCGUGUAUGAAGAAGGCCUUCGGGUUGUAAAGUACUUUCAGCGGGGAGGAAGGUGUUGUGGUUAAUAACCACAGCAAUUGACGUUACCCGCAGAAGAAGCACCGGCUAACUCCGUGCCAGCAGCCGCGGUAAUACGGAGGGUGCAAGCGUUAAUCGGAAUUACUGGGCGUAAAGCGCACGCAGGCGGUCUGUCAAGUCGGAUGUGAAAUCCCCGGGCUCAACCUGGGAACUGCAUUCGAAACUGGCAGGCUAGAGUCUUGUAGAGGGGGGUAGAAUUCCAGGUGUAGCGGUGAAAUGCGUAGAGAUCUGGAGGAAUACCGGUGGCGAAGGCGGCCCCCUGGACAAAGACUGACGCUCAGGUGCGAAAGCGUGGGGAGCAAACAGGAUUAGAUACCCUGGUAGUCCACGCCGUAAACGAUGUCGACUUGGAGGUUGUGCCCUUGAGGCGUGGCUUCCGGAGCUAACGCGUUAAGUCGACCGCCUGGGGAGUACGGCCGCAAGGUUAAAACUCAAAUGAAUUGACGGGGGCCCGCACAAGCGGUGGAGCAUGUGGUUUAAUUCGAUGCAACGCGAAGAACCUUACCUACUCUUGACAUCCAGAGAACUUUCCAGAGAUGGAUUGGUGCCUUCGGGAACUCUGAGACAGGUGCUGCAUGGCUGUCGUCAGCUCGUGUUGUGAAAUGUUGGGUUAAGUCCCGCAACGAGCGCAACCCUUAUCCUUUGUUGCCAGCGGUUAGGCCGGGAACUCAAAGGAGACUGCCAGUGAUAAACUGGAGGAAGGUGGGGAUGACGUCAAGUCAUCAUGGCCCUUACGAGUAGGGCUACACACGUGCUACAAUGGCGCAUACAAAGAGAAGCGACCUCGCGAGAGCAAGCGGACCUCAUAAAGUGCGUCGUAGUCCGGAUUGGAGUCUGCAACUCGACUCCAUGAAGUCGGAAUCGCUAGUAAUCGUAGAUCAGAAUGCUACGGUGAAUACGUUCCCGGGCCU
RNAcentral lists this ribosomal RNA (1361 nucleotides) under uncultured bacterium. Its description in RNAcentral is "bacterial SSU rRNA". It matches the Rfam family "Bacterial small subunit ribosomal RNA", at positions 28 to 1381 of the family's 1533-position model. The record is from RNAcentral.